UAUCUUUCUCAGAGCCAUCUAUAUUUCCCUUUUUAAAACAUAUUUUAUAUUCUGUUUUCAUCUCUUCAGUGCCACAUAAAUGUAUUUUGCUCUUUUCUGUUCCUUUAUGUACACACUUGUACAUACAUGUGUGCACAUGCUACAUACAUAAACAGUGGAGAUAUUCUUAGCCAUUUUUAUUAGGUAUGUGUGUGUUUCUACACACACACACACACACACACACACACACACUACUCCAUGGUACUGAAGGCAGUUAAAUAAAUGACUUCAGUAAUCCCUGCAACAAUCCGUUAAAGUAGGUCACAAUUAUCCCUGUACAGCACUGGGGCUGAGGCUGUGAGAUAAUGGCUUGCUUAAGGCCAUGCAGUGCCUGAGACAAGUUUUGGACCAGGGAUGCUUUGAGCCACAACUUAAUAAGGAACUUAACAAGAAAGAUCCUUAGACCAACAUCUUCCAGCUUCUUGCUCCAUUGAUCUCUCUGACUUCAGUGGGACUACUUUGGAGCAAGCAAUUUGACGAUUAUAGUCAACUGGCUUGGGGGCUUUGCAUCCCAGUUCUGCCUCUUUCUAGCUAAACAGGGAUUUCAGAAACAGUUUUGAAACUGCUCUGGGCAUUGAGGAGGCAAACGACAAAUUAUUGGCACUAUCCUUUAAGCAUCCGCAGUAGACUUUUCAAAGCGUAUUUCUAUUGUCGGUUGUUCUCUUCCACUUGAAACGCUGCAGAAACCUUCAAAAGAGGUUUGAUUUGCCAUGGUGUUGGUGCCAUGGCCAAUGGCUGCACUGCAAUUGGUUUAGCUGUGCUUAUGAAGCUUUUGUCCUACCCUUCUUCCAAGAUGCUCAGGGCAGUGGAUAUGAUCCUCCCCAAUUAUUACCAGUAAUCCUCAAAGUAACCUACUGGGGUAAGUUGAGCUGAAAUAUAAUGGCUGGCUGAAGGUUAUUCACUGAGCUUCAUGACUGAGUAGCAAUUUGAACCCUGCUGUAAUGCCUCCAGGCCUGUAGUAUUGGGUGAUAUCAAGAGUUGUUGGUCCACUCGCACAAUGAACUUCUGCUUGUGCACUGGAGCUUCCUCUCCCCACUACAACCCCUAUACACACACACACACACACACCCUCCCCCUUUGUAUGUAGGUGUAAAGCUUUCUAACUUGCAGUGUCUUAAUGUGUAUAAAUAAAAUCAUCAGACAAUGUGUGAGCUAAACAUGUCAGUGAAACAUUAUGUUGUUUUGAGGUUUUCUAAUGCAUUUUUUUGUGGCAAGGGGCCAAUAUAUAUGCAAUGCAAAGUAGCAAUGGUACAGAAUAACAUAAUCAAAAUGAAAUCUGUUCCAUGAAAUUAGGUACUCUUCAGGCUUGCAGAGAAAAGAACAUUUGCACAAAUGGUUAGUUAAUAAAACUCUGGCAUUAGCUUCAGAAGCUGAAUUACCUUGCUGUCCCUAUUGUUGGAUGUGCUGCUGGUGACAAAAGACUUAAAAAUGGGCCUCUUUUCUGUAUUAAAGAUUUGGUGGGGGGAAAUUUUCUUGGACACUAGUGCAGUAGUUUAGAAGAAUUAUAAAUAUGAAGUUAGCACUACAGAAAGCUCUUAGGCAAAGGCAAGACUUCUUCUAUUAGGGUCAGUGUUACCUUUCAAGUUUAUCCUUGCUAAUGCCUUCAGGCAAACUUCAUUAUUGGUUCUAUCAGAUUUGAUCUAAAGAAAAGAAAGUUACUGAGCAAUGAACUCAAGUAACCUUGUUAUUUUACAGUAGGACUGGAUACUCUCUUAGUAUUGGCUUAUUUGUAACAUUGCAGAGCAUCAGUUUACAAUCUCUUGCCCAAAGUAAGGAAUGAGCUUAGAAGGGGAGAGAAAAUUGUGGUGUUAGGAAAGUGAGAAUCCUUGGUGAUUAACUUGCUUCAUAUCCAUUGGAGAACAGGAAAUUUCCAGUUGGAGCUAGUUGCAGGCAGAAUUACAUACCAUAUGCAGUCAGUUAUGGAAUUAUGUGUAUAAAUAAAAUUAUAUAAAGUGCUUUGACAAAGUGCUUUGACUAUUUGUAGAAUUACUUGCCAUGAAUAUAUCUAAUUCUCAGUCUAAACUAGUGUCCAUCACCACAUUGUAUGCAUUAUUCAUUGUGUAAAUAAUAAUUCCUUGAAGGCACUGCCAAUAAAUUUCAUAGGUGGCCCUCAGUUCCAUUAUUAAUAAGAACCAAGAUUCUGGUGUUUAAAUAGGUGUUAUUUUGGUCUGAAAUAACAAGCAAAAUAACAAGCAGCCUCAUGCUUUGCAUAUAUACUUGAAACAAUAUUGAAAUGAUUAUUUAGCUGUUGUAUGAAGUGUUGGUAAUGGAAAAGGACUUUUUGGAAAUCGUUUUGGCAUUGCACAUAGCUACUUCUCUCCUUUCUUUGUGGUGGGAACAAAAGAUCCACAAAGUCUUCCAUUAAUUACCAUUUUUUGUCUGAAUCAGGUUACUAUGGUAACAGCUUUGGAACAAGCCAGGUUAUUAGGGCAGCUUCAAACCAUGGUUUAAUAUCCUGCUUUAUUUCAAAGCUUUUAACCUUAGUUUUCUGGUUCAAGCAAAAUGGAAAACAGUGGGUAAUGGAGGAACUUCAUGGUUUGUUUACUUGUGCAUAUGAAGAGAGGGACAAAAAAGUUGUGUGUAUGGCCAAAAAGGUUUGUUGUCAGUGUGUCAAGAGCAUACUAUCCUCUCACUCGACCUGAAAACACUUAAAAGGAAAUGCUAGUGACCUGUAUGUCCAAGAACAGGCACUCUACUACGCAUCUAAUGGUGAUUCAGAACUAGCAUUUUCUUCAUACUAAACUUCUAGGCACCAGAGUGUCGAGUAUGCAACAACUUCCUAUCUAGCUACCACCUAAACUGGAGGUAUAACAUUUUGUGUGUGUUAUACUAAGAAAGAAAUGCACAGUUUACACAAAUGUAACAAUAUUAGCACAUUCUUGUUCCAUUGUGUGUGAAAUGAAAUUCAGAAAGGAGAAAGCUACUUACCCAUCCACCCCCUUGACACGUGUGUGAUUAUUUUGUAACCUGAAACAUAUAGUGCACUUAAGUGUGAGACCCCAACAGCAUUUCAUUGCUGAAGAUGAAACUUGGCUGAACUUAAAUUUAUAUUUUGCAUUUAAUUUUGUGGUGGGUGGGUGUGCGUGCGUGCGUGCAGCAAAUUUCAUUCCUCUUUCCAAGGUGCAAAUACCAGAAUGAAAUUUUGAUAGCGUGAGUGCUUCAUUUAUUAAUGAGUGAGACAUCUUACACACGUCUCCUAAUGCUCAGUAAAAGUGUUAAGUUUAUAUACAGGAGGAACAUAUAUGUCUGAGUGUAGACUGCAAACUUUCUUGUUAAAAGCUAAUAUGCCUCUGGCAAAAGAGCUCUGUGCUGCUGCUACCUGCCAGCUGCUACUGGCAUGCUGAGAAAUGAUCAAGCUGCUCAUUUCCUUCCUGUUUGGCAUUUAAGACAUUUCUAGCUUAAUAUACAGAGUUAUUCAGUAUACAGAUGACUUUAUACUAAAGUAGAUGGAUUGUACUACUCUAUUAACUUUACAAACACAAAGCGCACAUAAGCACAAACUCUUCCAGGGUUUAAUUUCUUUCUCAUCCUGUAGCAGCGAAUUGGGGAGCCCUUUGGGGGGGGGGGUUACAACUGCUUUCCUCACAGGGAUAAUCUGUUAGAGGACACAUGCUGGCAUUUGUGCUAGACCAGUGACAAAUCAGGCAGACCCAGAGCUCUUUCUCCUUUUCUGCCACCUCUUUUCACUUACAUCCCCCCCAUUGUACCCCUUUCCUCAUUUUUCUCUUUGACACCCACAUGAAAUUAAGCUGAGGGCUGCAAGUUGCUCACUCCUGCUCUAGCAUGACCAAGAAAUUGAUCUCAGAUCCAGAAGUUGAGCCCCGGGUUGGCUCUUAAUAGCUUGGUCUUAUUUCAUGUCUGUGUGACAAAGUAAGUGGGUUGCAGUCUGGGUCACAGUUCAGUUAGGGUAAAAGUUUCUGUUUGCCACAAGCACUAAGGUCACCAUUAUUUGGGGCAAAGGAUGGGUUUUGCAUUGCAAAAUAUGUGUCUUCCCUCUGCCUCCGUUCCCAUCCAUUAUAAUGAUAGCUGGCUUCAGUGCUACUUAAACAUUAAAGAGCAAACUCACUAGAUCUCUUUAUGCGCCAUAUAUCUUAAGAAAACGAAAGCUUACUAGAAUUAGGCACUUAAUAUGUUUGUAUUUCUGCAUUUCUGCUAGAGCUGGAGACCUUACUUUGGAAGUGUUUUAUUUGCACCUGUUCAAGGUUCUGUUCUGUAAAGGCCAACUGCAGAGAUAUUUGCUUGUUAUAGCAAGCUUUUGUUAGGAACUAAGCAAAAUUAAUACAAAAUGAAUAAAGACACGUGAAACGUAAAGCAGGUCAUGUCAGAAACAUGUUGGUUAUCAAAAAACAGACAUUAAAUCUUACUUUCUUCAUAGCUGUUUUCCUCCGUGAACUGAAUAUCUUUGUUGGAGGUGUACAGUCUGAUUAUAUGUAUAUAUAUUGGGAUUGAAGGGCCAUUGGGUUUAUUGGGACUCAUUCUAUCAGUGAGGGAGAAAUUCAGCUCACAUUUUAAUGCAAACCCACCUAAUUCACACUACAUGAACCAAUACAGGAACUGAAACACAGCUAUCCUUUGAAAUUUUCACUUCUCUGAAUUUUGCAGUGCCAGUCUCCAACAACAAAAUGUGCACAUAAAGGUGCAUAUUAAUAUAUAGUAAAUAUUGCAGGUGCAUGGUUUCUGUUAUUAACACCAUGAUAUAUCGUGAUCAUGGACAGAAAAUUGGUCUAAACUCUGGAAGCCCUGUAUUAGUCUAUUUAGCCUUGAGUGCCAUUGUAUCUCAGCUUUACUUCAAUGGUUAGUACAGUGGGAACCCACUUACUGGGCCUUGCUCUUUUUGAAAGAUCAGCAAGGUAAAAAAAUAAAGUACUUCGAUAAAUGGUAGAAAGUAGUAGCUUGAUAAAACACAGCACAAGCCACGCUGUGAUGGAAAAACCAAGAGUUCACUCCAGUGGUUCUUCAGACUAUUCUGCCUUAAACAUCUAGUAUAACUAUGUUAUUUUUCUCAACACCAGUAUCAAUAUGUUGCUUUUUGUAAGCAUCAUUAAAAAUAAUUUGCAGCUGUAAUAUUACCAUGCUGAAAUGCAUCCUUUGUUAACUAUGACAGCAACAUUGGCUGCUU
This is a non-coding RNA of Podarcis lilfordi (Lilford's wall lizard), 5158 nucleotides long. NCBI's taxonomy places the organism in Eukaryota, Metazoa, Chordata, Lepidosauria, Squamata, Lacertidae. The record is from the annotation of a GenBank genome assembly.